This is a long non-coding RNA of Cercocebus atys (sooty mangabey), 365 nucleotides long. RefSeq lists it as uncharacterized. The record is from RefSeq and is a predicted model, not a curated record. NCBI's taxonomy places the organism in Eukaryota, Metazoa, Chordata, Mammalia, Primates, Cercopithecidae. The transcript is spliced from 2 exons.
AGCAUCCUGAGCAGCUGGGAUUACAGGCAGGCGCCACCAUGCCCAGCUGGAGACCAUGCCCUCCUCUCUCAUCUGGAUCUCAGACAGCGGGAGAAGAUGGUCUGUUCCUAUCUGCACACAUGGACUUAGCAACAAACCAGUCUCCUCCCAACAGAUUCUGCCCUUUUCACCAUCAAUUGCAUUUUGCUCCAGAACGGUUUUCGGGACACCAGUCUCUGACCAUGAACUCACAACAUGUUCAUGAAAAACUGCAUUCGUAUUUUCAAGAGUGGAAGGGGGAUAGGAAGGAGUUCUUCCUGGGGCUCUUCUUAAGUUUAUAUUUGCUUUCCAAAGUGUAACUUUCUGGAUUAAAUAUUGUGUCAGAA